This 1573-nucleotide long non-coding RNA is filed under the name Sorghum bicolor (sorghum). Its description in RNAcentral is "long non-coding RNA (SBIC_LNC010165)". The record is from RNAcentral. Lineage: Eukaryota; Viridiplantae; Streptophyta; Magnoliopsida; Poales; Poaceae.
AGCACACUAAGCAAAAUAUAUAUAUAAGCACAAAAUCGUUAUUUGGUUUUUCAUAGUUAUGUAUUUUUAUAUUUUAAUAUAGUAUAAGUAUAAAGAUAGAUAGAAAUACUUAGCGGGAUAAAUGGGGGUGCUCUCCCCCAAGCUGAAUUUUGACGUAAUUUCUCCUGAUGUAGCUAGCAGGUGGCAGAGGUGUAUUUGAAAGUCGGCAGUAUCUUUACAGCGAUUAAAAUGUCCUCCGUCUGCUAGUCUUCUUGAUUCUUAGAUUCUGUGGAGCUCAAAUAGACAACAAAGCUUUGUGGAACUGAUUAAGUGUUAGCACAAAUAUCUAGCCUUUAUCAUGUUGAGCCUCCUCAAUAAAUGUUACUCCCUUAUUUUUAUAUUUUCGUUUUAUAAAGCAGAAAAGAAAUAUUUAUUUUAUUUUUAUGCCACCACAGUGAAUGUACUUCUUUCAUGCCACUCAUAUACUCACAUGGGGCUUACUAUUUUUCACAUUUUUAUUUUCUUUUUAGGAUAGUACAAACAUGAUUAACUCAACUGUUUACAAUUAAUUAAAAGGGAAAGGAUAACUACCAAGUUUACCUCUUGGCAAGGCGUUCGGUGUGUUUAAGUCCUCCGAACGGGACUCUCCGUUUUCUAGUUGUCCUGGGAUUCGUUGGGUGGCGUAGCCGGUGCUUCCGGCAGCGCCUCUUCUUCAUGUAUGGUUAUCUUCUCUUUCCACACCUAACUCGGUGCUACGGUCUCCUCUGAAUAAUUCUGUUUAAACUAUAUGUCUUCUGAUCUUAUCGCUUCUCCUUCAUAGUCUGCCCAUCCGUCCUUGAUGAUUUGCCUCCUCUGGUUGCGGUUGCAUCGUUUUCUGACCUGCUUAAAGUCUUCAACGAUAUAGUUAGGGUCAGUAAAAUAGCGGCGUACCUUCUCUGAGGGGAAGUGCAUAUGGACUUCUCCAGUUCCAAUGUAGAUGAUUGCUUUAACGGUGCUGAGGAACGGUCUUCCAAGGAUGAUGGGUGGAUCGUAUUCGUCUUCUUCCAUGUCAAUAACCUGAAAGUCUGUGUAGACAAAAUGAUCGUCUAUUUUGACAGGGACAUCAGUUACUGUUCAUUUAACUUCUUGAAAUGUUUGAUCUGAAAUCUGGAGCCGAAUGUAUGUUGGUUUUAAGGGCAUGGUUCUGAACAAGAGCCGAUAGGUGACUGCGGCCAUUAUGUUGACGCCCGAUCCGGUGUCACAAGUCGUCUUGUAGAAGUUGUAUCCAUUUAUGGAGCAAUAGAUGCUUGGCAUUCCUGGGUCGUCCUUCUUGGUCAGAAACGGUGACUUAAAGUUGGUGAUCUUGACCUCCAUGAACUACAGUGACCAUCUUAGCUGACUCGGUCCACACUUUCUUGUUCCUGUUCCUCCUGUUGGUCCUCUUCCUUGAUUCACGUCUAGAUUGAUCUGGGAUUUGUGUUGUCUUGUUCUUGAAGGAAAAUGUCUCCUUCCUCCCUUUGAUGUAGAAACUGAUCUUGGCAGCACUAGCGUAGAUGACAGCUCCCGAGGUGUUUAAGAAUGGCCUCCCUAAGAUGAUGGGUGCCCUCUCAUCAUU